Molecule: long non-coding RNA, 975 nt
Organism: Parus major (Great Tit)
Lineage: Eukaryota; Metazoa; Chordata; Aves; Passeriformes; Paridae
Exons: 3
Source: RefSeq, a predicted model, not a curated record
GGCCCAAUCCCAGCCUCAGCUCCAGCUCCAGGCCGUGCUGGUGACAACACUACACCCUGCACUUUGACUAAAAUUCAGCAAAAUGUGGUCUGUGGGUUUGCCUGGCCAUGACACAAUUGGAUCAUUCCCUGGAACAUUUAUUGGAGUCAGAGUCAGCAUCAUCACUGUGGUUGCUCUGAGGGCAGGGGAACAAGUUAAUGGGAAGCUGUGACAAACACCUUACUCAGUGUUCACACAGCAACAUAAUUCCUGCCACAUCUAUGGAAGAAGAAUUUGCUGCCUGUGCCUGCUGGGCCUGCUCUUCUUCAGGACCACGAGGUCUUCACCAGCCACUACAAAUCCUCCAAGAUGGCCAUCAAAAGAUUUCUGAAGACCUUGCCAUGGUCCAUUUCUCUUUGUUUGCCAUUGGCAUUGCCCAACAAACCCUUUUGACUGCCACCCAAAGACAAAACACCCUUAGGACUUGGUCCUAAUUAAUUUCUCUUUCACCUACACGUGUGGGUGUCCGGCUUUCACUGGUGAGGCAGCUGCUCACUUUCCUCCAGACACAUGAGAGCAGUGCCUGGGGAGUAUGUCACAGCCAUGGUGUGACCUCUCAUGACAAUCCUUCCUACCAGAGCCAUUGAACUUCACAUUAACUCAACCAAACGUGUGCCUGUUCAGUCUGUGAUCAGGAUCAUUGUGGCCUCGCUGGGUGAGGGGGUGAGUGCUUUGUUGACAUGAAAAUAACGCAGUUCACUUGCAGCAGUCAAACUCAGUGUGUAUUUUCUGUGUGCAAAUGAUGAAACACCUCAGAACUAACUCGGUGAGGAGGAAGAUGGGGCAUGACCUCAGAGAGAUGCAUCCUCAUGUCUUGGGGGAGAGCAGCAUUGCAGGUCACACACCCACUGGUCCCCACGGAGGGGGAGGACAAUGCUUGGAACCCAGGGCUCCCUGCAGUGAUCCUUCAGCAGUGCCACAGCUGGGGCAGCCUCG